This 253-nucleotide ribosomal RNA is filed under the name uncultured bacterium. Its description in RNAcentral is "partial 16S ribosomal RNA". It matches the Rfam family "Bacterial small subunit ribosomal RNA", at positions 524 to 776 of the family's 1533-position model. The record is from RNAcentral.
UACAGAGGUCCCAAGCGUUGUUCGGAUUCACUGGGCGUAAAGGGUGCGUAGGUGGCGCGCUAAGUCAGGUGUGAAAUUUCGGAGCUUAACUCCCGAACUGCAUUUGAUACUGGCGUGCUUGAGGACUGGAGAGGAGACUGGAAUUCCUGGUGUAGCAGUGAAAUGCGUAGAUAUCAGGAGGAACACCGAUGGCGAAGGCAGGUCUCUGGGCUGACACUGACGCUCAUGCACGAAAGCGUGGGGAGCAAACAGG